UACGUAGGGUCCGAGCGUUGUCCGGAAUUACUGGGCGUAAAGAGCUCGUAGGUGGUUUGUCGCGUUGUCCGUGAAAACUCACAGCUCAACUGUGGGCGUGCGGGCGAUACGGGCAGACUGGAGUACUGCAGGGGAGACUGGAAUUCCUGGUGUAGCGGUGGAAUGCGCAGAUAUCAGGAGGAACACCGGUGGCGAAGGCGGUUCUCUGGGCAUGUCCUGACGCUGAGGAGCGAGAGUGUGGGGAGCAAACAGG
RNAcentral lists this ribosomal RNA (253 nucleotides) under uncultured bacterium. RNAcentral's name for it is "partial 16S ribosomal RNA". It matches the Rfam family "Bacterial small subunit ribosomal RNA", at positions 524 to 776 of the family's 1533-position model. The record is from RNAcentral.